Molecule: ribosomal RNA, 1039 nt
Filed under: Polyphilus sieberi
Lineage: Eukaryota; Fungi; Ascomycota; Leotiomycetes; Helotiales
Description: SSU rRNA
Rfam family: Eukaryotic small subunit ribosomal RNA
Source: RNAcentral
AUCUAUACGGUGAAACUGCGAAUGGCUCAUUAAAUCAGUUAUCGUUUAUUUGAUAGUACCUUACUACUUGGAUAACCGUGGUAAUUCUAGAGCUAAUACAUGCUAAAAACCCCGACUUCGGAAGGGGUGUAUUUAUUAGAUAAAAAACCAAUGCCCUUCGGGGCUCCUUGGUGAUUCAUAAUAACUUAACGAAUCGCAUGGCCUUGUGCCGGCGAUGGUUCAUUCAAAUUUCUGCCCUAUCAACUUUCGAUGGUAGGAUAGUGGCCUACCAUGGUUUCAACGGGUAACGGGGAAUUAGGGUUCUAUUCCGGAGAGGGAGCCUGAGAAACGGCUACCACAUCCAAGGAAGGCAGCAGGCGCGCAAAUUACCCAAUCCCGACACGGGGAGGUAGUGACAAUAAAUACUGAUACAGGGCUCUUUUGGGUCUUGUAAUUGGAAUGAGUACAAUUUAAAUCCCUUAACGAGGAACAAUUGGAGGGCAAGUCUGGUGCCAGCAGCCGCGGUAAUUCCAGCUCCAAUAGCGUAUAUUAAAGUUGUUGCAGUUAAAAAGCUCGUAGUUGAACCUUGGGCCUGGCUGGCCGGUCCGCCUCACCGCGUGCACUGGUCCGGCCGGGUCUUUCCUUCUGGGGAGCCGCAUGCCCUUCACUGGGUGUGUCGGGGAACCAGGACUUUUACUUUGAAAAAAUUAGAGUGUUCAAAGCAGGCCUAUGCUCGAAUACAUUAGCAUGGAAUAAUAGAAUAGGACGUGUGGUUCUAUUUUGUUGGUUUCUAGGACCGCCGUAAUGAUUAAUAGGGAUAGUCGGGGGCAUCAGUAUUCAAUUGUCAGAGGUGAAAUUCUUGGAUUUAUUGAAGACUAACUACUGCGAAAGCAUUUGCCAAGGAUGUUUUCAUUAAUCAGUGAACGAAAGUUAGGGGAUCGAAGACGAUCAGAUACCGUCGUAGUCUUAACCAUAAACUAUGCCGACUAGGGAUCGGGCGAUGUUAUCUUUUUGACUCGCUCGGCACCUUACGAGAAAUCAAAGUCUUUGGGUUCUGGGG